UUUUUCAGCGUCUGUGAAUUUGUUCUUUUAUCCAGUUAAACAGUUUUGCAGAAAAACCCUCAUACUUCAUGCAUUUAAUAACUUCUCAACCGUGCAUCGGAUUAAAACAAUUUAUAUAUGAAACUUGCUUAGAAUUUCAUCUAGUUUAUUAAUAUGCAACUUUCAUCCUUGGUUAAAAUGCUUAAAUUGCUGUUUGUUUAAAUUUGCCCCUAUGCCAUGUUAAAAUGAUUUAUUUCAUAACUUUAUAACCGUAGCUCCAAACCUAACAAACUUUAUAUGUAACUGGGGUAGAAUUGUGCCUAGUUUAAUAUGGUGACAUUGCUUUGCAUGUUUAAUAACCCUAAAAUUGUGUUUAGGGCAGAACAGUACCAAACCUAAAAUAUGCACGUGAGGAGUUUCCGGAUUUGUUGUUCGUUGUUUCCUGCCUCAUUUAAACUUGCCUAGAUAGGUAGUUUUCUUUUGCUUCACCCCUUGCCAUGUUAAUCAACAUUUAAUAAUGUUGGGUACAUAAUCGAGAUCGAACUAAAUAAGUCAUGUGGUGUUCCGUCAAUAUGCAACUCGUUGCAUAUUGAGCUCCACUUAAUUUGUAGAGUUGUUUGUGCAUUUUGCCAUGCCAUGCUUCAUUAAACCGGACAUGCAUCAUACUCGAUUGUGCAUCAUGCCAUGUUUAUGUGGUGGUUGUUUACCAUGAUUGUUUGCUUCUUUCCAGUGUUGCUUCUUCGGGUUGGUUCCGGUAACGUCGUGUUUGUGAGGAUUCGUUCAACUACGUCCGUUAGUCUUCUUCAUGGACUCAUUCUUCUUCCUUGCGGGAUCUCAGGCAAGAUGACCAUACCCUCGAAAUCACUUCUAUCUUUGCUUGCUAGUUGCUCGCUAUUUUGCUAUGCCUAUGCUGCAAUACCUACCACUUGCUUAUCAUGCCUCCCAUAUUGUUGAACCAAGCCUCUAACCCACCUUGUCCUAGCAAACCGUUGAUUGGCUAUGUUACCGCGUUGCUCAGCCCCUCUUAUAGUGUUGUUAGUUGCAGGUGAAGAUUGAAGUUUGUUCCUUGUUGGAACAUGGAGAUGUUGUUCCUUGUUGGAACAUGUUUACUUGUUGGGAUAUCACAAUAUCUCUUAUUUAAUUAACGCAUCUAUAUACUUGGUAAAGGGUGGAAGGCUCGGCCUUAUGCCUGGUGUUUUGUUCCACUCUUGCCGCCCUAGUUUCCGUCAUAUCGGUGUUAUGUUCCCGGAUUUUGCGUUCCUUACGCGGUUGGGCUAUAAUGGGAACCCCUUGACAGUUCGCCUUGAAUAAAACUCCUCCAGCAAUGCCGAACCUUGGUUUUACCAUUUGCACUAACAACGUACCACCUUCCCUUGGGUUCUGCAGACUCAAGGGUCAUCAUUAUUUUAACCCCCCUAGGCCAGUGCUCCUCUGAGUGUUGGUCCGACUGAGAAGACUGCGGGGCCACCUCGGGGCAACUUGAGGUUUGGUUUUAGUCGUAGGAUGUCUCGUCUGAGUGUGCCCUGAGAACGAGAUAUGUGCAGCUCCUAUCGGGAUUUGUCGGCACAUUCGGGCGGUGUUGCUGGAUUUGUUUUAACUUGUCGAAGUGUCUUGUAGAACCGGGAUACCGAGUCUGAUCGGAAUGUCUCGGGAGAAGGUAUAUCCUUCGUUGACCGUGAGAGCUUGUCAUGGGCUAAGUUGGGACUCCACUACAGGGAUUUGAACUUUCGAAAGCCGUGCCCGCGGUUAUGGGCAAAUGGGAAUUUGUUAAUGUCCGGUUGUAGAUAACUUGAACCUUAACUUAAUUAAAAUACAUCAACCGCGUGUGUAACCGUGAUGGUCUCUUUCCGGCGGAGUCCGGGAAGUGAACACGGUGUUGGAGUUAUGCUUGACGUAGGUUGUUCUAGGAUCACUUCUUGAUCAUAGUUUUCUCGCUCGUGCUUUGCCUUCUCUUCUCGCUCUCAUUUGCGUAUGUUAGCCACCAUAUAUACUAGUCGCUUGCUGCAGCUCCACCUCAUACCUUUUACCCUUCCCAUAAGCUUAAAUAGUCUUGAUCGCGAGGGUGUGAGAUUGCUGACUCCCCGUGACUCACAAUUACUUCCAAAACUAGCUUGCAGGUGCCGUUGAAUCAUGCAGAUGACGCAACCCAGCUCAAGGAGGAGCUCGAUGAAGACCUUGUCCUUUGUGUUGUUUCGUUCCAGUUGAUCAGUAGUGGAGCCCAGUUGGGGUCGAUCGGGGAUCUGUGUAGCAUUUGGGGUAGUCUUCUUUUAUUUUGGCUCCAUAGUCGGGCCCUGAUUGUAUCUGGAUGAUGUAAUGCUUUAUUCAUGUAAUUGUGUGAAGUGGCGAUUGUAAGCCAACUAUGUAUCUCUUUCCCUUAUGUAUUACAUGGGAUGUGUGAAUAUUACCUCACUUGCGACAUUGCUUCCAAUGCGGUUAUGCCUCUAAGUCGUGCUUCGACACGUGGGAGAUAUAGCCGCAUCGAGGGCAUUACAAGUUGGUAUCAGAGCCUUCCCCGACCUUUGGAGCCCCAUUGCUUCAUCGAAUUAGCGGACGAGUUGAGUCUAGAAAAAUGUUUUGAGUCAUUUAGGAAUUAUAUAUAUCGUAGAGUUAGGAAUUCUUUUUACUCCCCAGUCCCUUCGUCGCUCUGGUGAGGCAUCCUGACAUAGAGUUUUGACUCUUCUCUUCUCAAAUUUCACUAAAAAAAAUUUAGGAUCACGCGGGUAUCUUGGAAUCGUUCCGAUGGUUUUGUGACGAGCACAUUGUUCUUGGUGCCUCCUGUCAUUUAGGGGUUGUGGCAGUGUCCCGGGGAGUUGAGCUCCGAGGUGUUGUCGUCACAAUUUUAUCGUUGCAGUUCUGGAAUACCUGAGAUUAGUUUCGCUGACAUCGAAAAUCUCUUUUAUGCAGUUGUUGGUGAGAUAACCUCGACGCCACCUAGUACUGGGGCGGGAGUUCGGGAGUAUUGCCAUAACUCGUAUAACGGAUGCUUUUCGAAGGUUGAGGUAGACGAUUUCCGAAGGUUUCUUGGUUAUUUGUUGAAGGAUGGAUACAGCUGGAUGUAGGAUUUGCUAGAAUUGGGUGAGAUAUUAUGCUUCCCCUGUAUCCCCAACACCCGAUUGCAUAACCGGAAAAUUUCGGGAGUUUAUAAGUGGGAAUUCAAGUAUCUCUUAGGAUAUCUUUCCGACGGAUAUAUGAUAUGAAAUUGGUGUUCGACUUCUAGUGGUCUGCCUAUCCACGGUUCGUUUUAUAGUGCCCUCGUUGUGUCUUAAAGUGUCCUUGGCUAUGCCGACUCGGGGACGCUUCGUAUGUCAUGUGCACUGCCUUGUACAUGAUGAUGAUGUACGAUCGAGCCCGUGUAGGCCCCUCCACGAAAACUUCGGACGAAAUCUCUAUCAUAUGUUUGUUCCGGCUUAUUCUGCAAGCCAAUCCUUUGUUUUGUUUUGAGUUGUGGUAUUCGAGUUGCUUCGAAGUCAAAUGUUGAUUCCAUACCUGUUCCUAAGCGGUGUUCUCAUAUUUCUUUGGGAAUACUAAUCCUUCAUAAUCAUCGAGAUUGUCUUGUCAAUCCUUUUCAACCGGCGUGUUUCUCUUCUAGUGGAUCCGAUCUUUUCUACAUCCGCAAGAUCAAUUACCAGUUCUUUCUACGGUGUUCAUUUCUUCCGUCCUAAGCCAUCUUUGUUUUCCCACCCACCCACCCUUUUCAUUCAAGGAUUCGGAUUUGUGAAUCAAUUAUCAUGUGAUUGAUGAGAAGUCUCUCCAUUCUUUUCCGUCAAUAGUCUUACCCAGUGGUUCUCUUGAAAAUGUUCUACUAGUUCAUGACUUCUCAUUCUUUUUCUUCUCCGGUGGAUUCUAGUCAAACUUUGUUGAUCAUAUCCUUUCCUCGUUUCAAUACCUUCUCAUACCGGUGCACGUCAUAAUAAUUCACUUCUCGCUAUUCAAUUGUUCCGGAGUGCUCAAGAUAUCUCGAAGAUUCGUGUUUCCACUCUGCAGUCGUUCAAGAUCUUUCGAGGAUGUUAUCCCAUUCAAGCCAUUUAAUUCAACUAGCACAAUCUAUCUUUUAAAUCAUUCAACGGUGUUUCUUUCGAGUGGGCCCUAACCCACAGGUCUUUUCCCAGGAUCUUACCUGACUCUUCUAACUUUCUCGAAGCUUUUCGAGUUCUUCUCGAACAUUGACGUAAGAAUGAUUCAUCAUCAGUCAUAAUGUCUUUCUCCCAGAUCUUUCAAAUUCUUUUCAUUGCUGGCUCAACCUCUUCGUUUUGAUUCUUCCGGAGUGUAAAUAAUUCAUGGUGGUGUUUCUCAUCGUCAUUCUCGGAGAUUUGAAGUCCGAAGAAGAGUUUCUCUCAAAUCUUGGCCCGUUCUCUCAAGAUUCGUGGUUCUAGCGUUAUGCCAUCCUCUCAUAAUUGUUUUUGAUUGUGAGAUUUCUUUUCACCCAUCCGGAGUAAUUCAGAGUAUUUUCAGUUUGAUUCUCCGAAGCCCAUCAUCUCAUAAUUAUUCAUUCCCAGCUUUCAGGUAUCGUUCUCCUAAUCUUACCGGUGCAUCGAUCAAUUAUCCUCUAAUCAGUUCUUGAUCUCUUCGUUCUCAUGUAACUAAAUCCCCUCAAGAUUCUUCGUUCAUUCGCUAAUUCUUCCCGGUGUUUCUUUAUCUUUUCUUCGUUCAUUUUCAAUUCUUACGGUGGUUCGUGCAAGAUUCCUCUUCUUUCGUUAUCAUAUCAAUUUAUUCAUUGUUUUCAAUCCUACCGGUGGUUCGUUGGAGACCUUUCCAAGUUGACUCUAUGUCUAUCUUAAUUCUUUCUACGAGAAUAAGUAGUAUGCCAAAGCCAUUGAUUGUCAUCAAUUUAAUUGGUGAAGGAUGAGCAUAACAUAAUUUUUAUUCUUGAUUCACCCAAGUGAUUAAUUCCCUAUUCCGGAGGCUCGUCAAAUUCCUAAUUUCAAUUGUUUCAUCCUCUCUUUUUCCCGGAGUUCCAACCUUUUUCAAUUACAUCUCCACGGAGAUUCAUUUAAAUCAUUGCAAGGCUUCAACCUUAUUCUUUUCAUCCACCAUUUUGUUUGAUCAUUCUUUUACCGGAGUUUUCACGAAGGCUCGACAUGGUGAUUCAUCAAGGAUUUAAUCCCUUCUCGAAGUUUUCAUCAAGUUUCUUUUCAGAGGAGUUCAAGCAUUCUUCAUCUUGCUAUCCGGAGUGCAAUUCUUUCUUCCGUAUCAUUGGAGGUGGUAUUAUGUCAUUCUUGAUAAUUUGAGUCCAUGUUUCAUGUUUCACAUGUUGUUAAGAAUGAGGUAUUUUAAAUCCAUCAAUCCUUUCGUUGGAAUUAUCUUGGGCUAUAUUUCACCUAAAACCUUCCCUAAGGAUUGUUGCUAUUUAUGUUGCUUAUAAAUGACCCAAGUUCUUCAUUUAUCCUCCCGGUGAAAUGAGUUUCUCGUCUUCUUGUUCAUAUCAAUCCAAUCAAAAAAAAUUCCCGUGAGUGGCAGGUUGUCACCUCAUUAUUUUGAGAGGUUUUCCAGAAGCCCAGUACAAGCUUACUCUUUUUCUUUGUUGGUUUUCUAACAACUCCGUUCGACCCUUCUCCUAAAGAUGCCUUUUCAAGCUCUUUGUAGCAGAAGUUGGCAUUUUCUUCUACAUUCUUUUGUCUCAAUUAUCUUUAUUCUAUUCUUUCUCCCGGAGGUCUAGUGAUGUUGCUCUUUUCACUCCUCAUCUCGGUUUGUUAAGAUCAUGUUCAAUUUCUUCCAUUUACAGUCGAAGUGUUGUCCAAAUUAUAUCAGUCUUAUUCCUUCUCUAUCUUGUGUAACCGUAGUGUCAUGUCCUCUGCUCAAGUUCUUUUCACCGUAUCAAGUCUUGCAUAACUUCUCAACCGGAGUGCUGUCCAAAUUUGUUCUUCCUUGUUCCUCUUUUCUAACAGAGUGUUUUCAACUUCGUUCAUCUCCUUUGUAUUCUUUUCUCAAAAUGGCUUAAUUUUCACGGUUCUUUGGUUUCACUCGUUUGUCAAAGAAGCAACUUAGCUUUACCUCUUCUCUUUCUCUUCCGUUUUUCCCCUUCGGUGCCAUUCUAGAUCUCGGGACGAGAUCCUCUCGUAGUGGUGGAGUGUUGUAACGCCCCGAGACCGAUGCUUCAGAAGCCUUCAAUGUUCUUCGUUGCCGUCGUGUGUUUUAUUUUGUUUGUUGCAUUUCAUCAUGGCAUCGUCCGCAUUGCAUCGGCACUCGCUGUCGUCGUUGUUUUUAAAACUUGCAUCAGCUCAUAGUUGCCGCGUUACCCCUCUCUUUUGUUGCCCGUUCCAAGACCAACCUUAUUCUUAGUUUUUACCUCUUGUCUAAACUGGAAUCUCCUUGUAAAGUGCACAGACCCCCUCGCUUGCUCGUCCGAACUUCCCCGAACCCAACCCGAGCAGUCGUCACCGUUGGAUCCGGAUCAUCCCCAAACAUCCCUAAAUCAUCAUCAAUUUCUCGUUAGACUCUCCUAAGCUAUUUAUUCUCGACCGUUCGAUUUUAAUAGGAGGUUCCAAAAUAGCCCUAACCAAAAAUCCAAGGCUAUAAGUAGCAGUCUAACCCUAGCCUAGCCUCCUGUCCCAUCCAUCCUUUCCCAUCGCGCCGCCGCCAGUCCACCUGGUCUCCUCCUCGUCUUCCCCAUCGAGCCAACCACCGUCCGUCUCAGAUCCACCUCCCUCCGACCGCCUCCCGUGAUUUCCGUGCAACCAAAAUCCCCAGCAAAUCGCAGCCUCCUCCUUCCCGCUUGGAGCCCCUCCCGUGCUCUCCUCCUGCAGCUCGCCUCGCUGGAGGUCGGCGCCACCGGAGCACCACCACCAGGGACCUCAACCACCAGGCCGCAUUCCCAGCCCCUUUCCUUUCUUCUCCUUCCCUUUCAAGCUCUCUAGUUCUCUCAUGUUCGUAUCUCUCUGUGUCUCUUUCUUCGCAGCGCCCGAGGUCAUGGCCGCUGCCUUUGUGCAGUCGCUGCCGUCGCCAUGAACACCGCCCCGUCGUCUGCAUCUCUUCCGGCAGCAUCGCCGCACGUGCCCCCCCCUCUCGCGCGGAACGGCCUCGCCUCUGCGCCACGCGAACCUUCUGCAUCGACCACCUUCGUCAUGCCACCCGUGCUCCUCCGCGCUGGCCAACAGCAGCAGCGCACCCCGGCGCCCUGCUACAGACCCAACCUCAUCAAAGCCCCGCAGGUCACCGACCCUUCCUCUCCUUCCUUCGGUCCUCCUUUGUUGUUCUCUCGCUCAUGUCUCUCUCGACUGCUCUCUCUGUCUUCGCUGCAGCUAGCCGCCUUGACCACCGAUGGGAGAUGCCUCCCCUGCCCUGCUCGCGCCUAGAUCCAGCCGAUGUUGCCCUGCCGACCUCCGCCUGACCUGCGUUCCCAGCCUCCUCCUGCCGGAGUCGCCCGAGCGCCGUCGUGCCAUCGUCCAAGUCCCGCCUCGCCAAGCCCUGCAUCGCGCCGCUGUUCCCUGCUGCUGUUUCUGUUCUUCAGAAACGAGCAGCAGCAACUCGAGCCGCUCGCCCCUCUGCUUCGCACGCUGGCCCGCCAAGUCCCUCUUGCGUGCCAAGGCCCAACCUGCGCCCCGCGGCCUGCUUCCACCGUCUGGGCUUGGCCCAUGGUGAGAGAGCCCCAGUGCCCCUUUGUCUUUCUAUUCUUGGGCCUGCUCCAGUUUUAGUUUCGGCCCGCGUGUGUUUUUUCCAGCGUCUGCGAAUUUGUUCUUUUAUCCAGUUAAACAGUUAUGCAGAAAAACCCUCAUACUUCAUGCAUUUAAUAACUUCUCAACCAUGCAUCGGAUUAAAACAAUUUAUAUAUGAAACUUGCUUAGAAUUUCAUCUAGUUUAUUAAUAUGCAACUUUCAUCCUUGGUUAAAAUGCUUAAAUUGUUGUUUGUUUAAAUUUGCCCCUAUGCCAUGUUAAAAUGAUUUAUUUCAUAACUUUAUAACCAUAGCUCCAAACCUAACAAACUUUAUAUGUAACUGGGGUAGAAUUGUGCCUAGUUUAAUAUGGUGCCAUUGCUUUGCAUGUUUAAUAACCCUAAAAUUGUGUUUAGGGCAGAACAGUACCAAACCUAAAAUAUGCACGUG
This 8018-nucleotide long non-coding RNA is filed under the name Triticum aestivum (bread wheat). RNAcentral's name for it is "long non-coding RNA (TAES_LNC010214)". The record is from RNAcentral. Lineage: Eukaryota; Viridiplantae; Streptophyta; Magnoliopsida; Poales; Poaceae.